AGUGAACGCUGGCGGUAGGCCUAACACAUGCAAGUCGAACGGCAGCACAGUAAGAGCUUGCUCUUACGGGUGGCGAGUGGCGGACGGGUGAGGCAUACAUCGGAAUCUACUUUUUCGUGGGGGAUAACGUAGGGAAACUUACGCUAAUACCGCAUACGACCUACGGGUGAAAGCAGGGGAUCUUCGGACCUUUCGCGAUUGAAUGAGCUGAUGUCGGAUUAGCUAGUUGGCGGGGUAAAGGCCCACCAAGGCGACGAUCCGUAGCUGGUCUGAGAGGAUGAUCAGCCACACUGGAACUGAGACACGGUCCAGACUCCUACGGGAGGCAGCAGUGGGGAAUAUUGGACAAUGGGCGCAAGCCUGAUCCAGCCAUACCGCGUGAGUGAAGAAGGCCUUCGGGUUGUAAAGCCCUUUUGUUGGGAAAGAAAAGCAGCAGAUUAAUACCCCGCUGUUCUGACGGUACCCAAAGAAUAAGCACCGGCUAACUUCGUG
RNAcentral lists this ribosomal RNA (492 nucleotides) under uncultured bacterium. RNAcentral describes it as "partial 16S ribosomal RNA". It matches the Rfam family "Bacterial small subunit ribosomal RNA", at positions 29 to 507 of the family's 1533-position model. The record is from RNAcentral.